GGGGUCGACAGGAAUUGACAGUUAAGUAGAUUCUUUGUAAGCACGCCGGGCAUUGUGCAAUUUGGCCCGUAAAACCUAAAGCAUAAAACAAUUUUAUUUGGCGACCAAGAGUUUGCCAUGGCAGCCUAGUUCAAGGAAUUAGCAUAGCCAUUGUCCACCCGUUUUUUUUCUAAUCGGAAAGGAGUUGGGCAUCGUGUAGAUUGGGAUAGUCUUGCAAUUUGUUUCGUUUGCAGGGCGAAAAUUAGAAACUAAGGAUAUGAAUUGGUUAGAAAGACCACCUCUUAUGUCUCGAAAAUCAAGGUUUUUCUAAGCGCGUAGAAAGCAAUUUUUCGCUUUGUCUGGACGAGGGUUCGAAUCCCUCCGACUCCACUU
Molecule: transfer-messenger RNA, 372 nt
Filed under: Chitinophagales
Lineage: Bacteria; Pseudomonadati; Bacteroidota; Chitinophagia
Also listed under: 2 other names
Description: JADIYW01 sp016705125 Standard tmRNA
Rfam family: transfer-messenger RNA
About the family: Bacterial tmRNA, also known as 10Sa RNA or SsrA, is named for its dual tRNA and mRNA-like properties. Its role is to liberate the mRNA from a stalled ribosome.
Source: RNAcentral